Molecule: long non-coding RNA, 284 nt
Filed under: Brassica rapa (field mustard)
Lineage: Eukaryota; Viridiplantae; Streptophyta; Magnoliopsida; Brassicales; Brassicaceae
Description: long non-coding RNA (BRAP_LNC006115)
Source: RNAcentral
AAAUUUCUAAAACAUUUAUUCCAACACUCAAAAGAUAGUUUUGCUAAAUAUGAUAACUAGAUAGCCACUAAAAUUACAAAAAAAAUUUAAAUAGUAAAAAAUAUGUUAAUUUAACGUGUUAAAAUUUAAAAAUAAAUUUUAAUUAUGACAUGCAUUUAACAUUUAUAUAAAUAUAUAUCAUAGCCUAAAUAUAAAUAAUUUAAUAACUUAAAUUAGAAAAAAAUAAAAAUCCCGGGCGUAGCCCGGGUUAAUCCCUAGUCUAUACUAAUAAAAGGGACCUUUUG